GCGAGGAUGGUGGAACUGGCAGACACGCUAGACUUAGGAUCUAGUGCUUCGGCGUGAGGGUUCAACUCCCUCUCCUCGCACCA
Molecule: transfer RNA, 83 nt
Filed under: Anaerobranca gottschalkii DSM 13577
Lineage: Bacteria; Bacillati; Bacillota; Clostridia; Eubacteriales; Proteinivoracaceae
Description: tRNA_Leu_TAG
Rfam family: tRNA
About the family: Transfer RNA (tRNA) molecules are approximately 80 nucleotides in length. Their secondary structure includes four short double-helical elements and three loops (D, anti-codon, and T loops).
Source: RNAcentral